Non-coding RNA from Phrynosoma platyrhinos (Desert horned lizard), 72 nucleotides. The record is from the annotation of a GenBank genome assembly. NCBI's taxonomy places the organism in Eukaryota, Metazoa, Chordata, Lepidosauria, Squamata, Phrynosomatidae.
GCCAGUAUGGCGUAGUGGUUUGAGUGUUGGGUUCUCCCACUGGAGACCAGGGUUCAAAUCCCUGCUCGGCCA